UGAGACAGGUGCUGCAUGGCUGUCGUCAGCUCGUGUUGUGAAAUGUUGGGUUAAGUCCCGCAACGAGCGCAACCCUUAUCCUUUGUUGCCAGCGAUUCGGUCGGGAACUCAAAGGAGACUGCCGGUGAUAAACCGGAGGAAGGUGGGGAUGACGUCAAGUCAUCAUGGCCCUUACGGCCAGGGCUACACACGUGCUACAAUGGCGCAUACAAAGAGAAGCGAACUCGCGAGAGCAAGCGGACCUCAUAAAGUGCGUCGUAGUCCGGAUCGGAGUCUGCAACUCGACUCCGUGAAGUCGGAAUCGCUAGUAAUCGUGGAUCAGAAUGCCACGGUGAAUAC
This 339-nucleotide ribosomal RNA is filed under the name Erwinia sp. RNAcentral describes it as "bacterial SSU rRNA". It matches the Rfam family "Bacterial small subunit ribosomal RNA", at positions 1030 to 1369 of the family's 1533-position model. The record is from RNAcentral. Lineage: Bacteria; Pseudomonadati; Pseudomonadota; Gammaproteobacteria; Enterobacterales; Erwiniaceae.